This is a long non-coding RNA of Lolium perenne, 2714 nucleotides long. RefSeq lists it as uncharacterized. Lineage: Eukaryota; Viridiplantae; Streptophyta; Magnoliopsida; Poales; Poaceae. The record is from RefSeq and is a predicted model, not a curated record.
UCUGAUGAACAUUACCCUGUUCAUACAUAUUUGAGGCUGAUGAACUUUAAAAGAAUCAUGAGAACAGCCGCGAACGGCAAAACAGCCGUCUAUUCGCACUAAAAAAUGGUGUGAUGAGAAAUAGUAACUUCAAUGAUAUAUGCAUAUACUGUUAGUAAUUUUUAUAAUUCAUUACGUGGACUACAAUCUUUUUGAUAUGCUAUUAAGUUUAACCAUUGGGCAUAUUCUUAUAGAAGGAGCUGUGAGCCGCAAACCCACGUAAGAUGCCCACUUCAGAAACUUCAGGACCCUCCCUACAUAUAUUUACUGGCCUGUAAAUGCCCACUUCAGAAACUUCAGAGACUUGCUAGACAGGUGCCAUCCUGAUUUUGACAAUCAUAUAAAGAAGAGCGGGUUCACGUUAGCCUUCAGGACUGUCUGAUGCAUGGACCUGCCCAUAUCAUAGACGGUGAGGACUGGAUGUAUCAAAGCAAUUUUAUUGAUCAGUUUGUUUUGGGAGAGAAUUUUUAAGAGCGGAAUGGAUCAUAUGUGUCAAAGUUGUUUGGACUUUGUGAUACGGAGGGUUGCCCGAUCUUUACGGAUUGAGUGGGACAAAUACCAAGCAAACAUUCUGUCAACCAGCUCCUGUAGUCCUGGUCCAAAUCUCAUGGAUCUGUCUUGUUGAUAAUAAGGUAGGAACUAUGAAGUCUUAUAGUAUUACACAAAAAAGCACUUCCAACAAAAGAAGAGGCUUUCUCCUUUUCGAGCUUCCCCGCUGAAAUCUUGUUUGUUAGUAGUUCCAGAAAUGCCCUAAAAAAGUAGUCCAAGAAAUUUCCUAAAAUAGUAGUUCCAAAAAUUGGCAUGGUGGCGGUGCUAUGCAGAAUCUUACAGAAAAAAUGUUAGCCACAUUUCCCUACCUUUGCCACCCUGUAGCUUCAUUUUUGUUAGCCACACUUCCCAACUUUUGUCACCCUGUACCUGUAGCUUCAUUUUUGUUAGCCACACCUGGUUCUGGUUCUGGUGGCCUGUGCACCUUCUGGUGCCUGCCCUGUGCCCUCAAGUACUUGAACGUGCGCGGAUGGUACUUGCACUUGAAUGUUGCCUUGGCAAUCAUCUCCUGUACCUCCUUGUUGGACGCUGAUGGCAGUGUGCGAGACAACACUGGGCUCUGCUGUGCUAGCUUGUUUUCCUCGUCAUAGAUGGCUAGCAACUGCAGGGAGGUGUCGCUGGGUGCAUGAGCCGGUGGACUCCAUUUGGAGAUGGAUAUCGAGAGAAGAGGUUCCUUGAUGGAUCUGGAUGCUUUGGAGAUCUGGUGUGCUUUGUUGAAGUCUACGUUGGCCAGGGUUUAAAAGCUAGGGAGAGCGGCGAGUGAUGGGUCAUGUACAGUGGGAGACUAGCGAGAAAUGGAACUUAAGUAAUAAACACUGUGUAAUGUUGUCUUGUUUUUUUCUUUUUUCGAAAUGGGUUGCCCCAGUCUCUGCAUCGCAAUGAUGCAUACAGCCGCUGUAAUGUUGUCUUGUAGGAGGGAAAGGUUGGGCAAGGUGACCUUUUUGUCUGUGUGCUUGUUGUGUGGGUGUGCAUGUAAGUGCUGAUAGUCCUCGGCUAUUCUUAGCACAAGUAAAUGCUGCUUACACAUUUAGAGCACAUUAACUUCACCUUGAUAUCAUAUUGACAUGACACCUCUAGGCCCUACCUCAGCUCAAGUUUAUUCUAUUUAAUUGUUAUCUUUCUGCCAUGACACAGGACAUUGAGUCUAUAUCACACAUUGGACAAGAGGCAGUUAUAGUUGAUUGUUAUCAACGCCCAGCUCCAACAUAUCUGGAACAGCUCGAGCAAGUUUCUAGUUUCUACAAAAUUCAUAGUGUUGGUUGUGAGCUCUCUAGACCCCAGUUAAGUGCUGUAAUUGCCCUUAUCUCCCUCUUGAAUGUCUGGAAACUUCACUUGUCAAAAAUCCUGAUAUGAUAAUGCAAGUAGCCAACUACUGCUUCUUGACAAAAUUCUUCAAGAGAUCAGCAACAAGAGGUUAAGAGUCAUUGUUCCUUUUCAGGUGAGAUACUCAUGGCGUUGUGAUUCUAAGUUUAUCAGUCAUUAGACUUUUACUUCUGCAAGUAUAAUAUGUACUCAAUAGUUGAUCUAAGUAUUUAUUUUAUGUGAUACACACUUGAACCAGUUUCUGUCGCUGGCAUAUAAUCACUCUUUCACAUACUGGUCUGAACAUGCCCCCUCAAGUAUUAAUUAUGGUUCUCGUUUUUUUCUAGUGAUUCUCUCGAUGCUCUUCUUUAAUCAGUUACUUUGAGGGCACACCUUAAUUUUCUCAGCUCAGCAUGAUCUUAAACAUUUUUGUUUUUGUUUUGCGGCCGUCUGGUGGAGUAGGUGCAAACCCAACGGGUGAUAUUCUGAAAGAUGUUGUGCGUCCCAGUCUCCCAGAUUUGGUCCCGAGUCAUUCACAGAUUUGGUCCCAGAGUCAUAUGUAUGUGUUAAAUGUGGUGCAGUGAUGCCAAGUAAAACUGGCGACAAUUAAUAUGUUCACUGACAAGAAAAAAAAGGGGAGAUUUGUUUUUCAGUUUGGCUCCUUCAAAAGGCAUCUAAUUUGUUGCGAACCAAACAUGAAUAGUUUUUCAUAUCUUAGCUGUCAAAUAUUUAUGAUUGUUUUGAACAAAUACACACCAAGAAGUUCGACCAAAUACUUUGUAAACCGACAUCUAUCUAGAAGCACAUGUUGAAGUAUCAAGCUA